Molecule: ribosomal RNA, 253 nt
Filed under: uncultured bacterium
Lineage: Bacteria
Description: partial 16S ribosomal RNA
Rfam family: Bacterial small subunit ribosomal RNA
Source: RNAcentral
UACGUAGGGACCAAGCGUUGUUCGGAUUUACUGGGCGUAAAGGGCGCGUAGGCGGCGUGACAAGUCACUUGUGAAAUCUCCGGGCUUAACUCGGAACGGCCAAGUGAUACUGUCGUGCUAGAGUGCAGAAGGGGCAAUCGGAAUUCUUGGUGUAGCGGUGAAAUGCGUAGAUAUCGAGAGGAACACCUGCGGCGAAGGCGGGUUGCUGGGCUGACACUGACGCUGAUGCGCGAAAGCCAGGGGAGCGAACGGG